RNAcentral lists this ribosomal RNA (464 nucleotides) under uncultured Methanomicrobiales archaeon. RNAcentral's name for it is "bacterial SSU rRNA". It matches the Rfam family "Archaeal small subunit ribosomal RNA", at positions 875 to 1338 of the family's 1478-position model. Lineage: Archaea; Methanobacteriati; Methanobacteriota; Methanomicrobia; Methanomicrobiales. The record is from RNAcentral.
AGCACCACAACAGGUGGAGCUGCGGUUUAAUCGGACUCAACGCCGGGAAACUCACCAGAUAAGACAGCUGAAUGAUAGUCGGGCUGAAGACUCUACUUGACUAGCUGAGAGGAGGUGCAUGGCCGUCGUCAGUUCGUACUGUGAAGCAUCCUGUUAAGUCAGGCAACGAGCGAGACCCACGCCAACAGUUGCCAGCUCGUCCUCCGGGAUGGUGGGGACACUGUUGGGACCGCCUCUGCUAAAGAGGAGGAAGGAAAUGGGCAACGGUAGGUCAGCAUGCCCCGAAUUAUCUGGGCUACACGCGGGCUACAAUGGGUGGGACAAUGGGUAUCGACACCGAAAGGUGAAGGCAAUCUCCUAAACCCAUCCGUAGUUCGGAUUGUGGGCUGCAACUCGCCCACAUGAAGCUGGAAUCUGUAGUAAUCGUGUCUCAAAAUGGCACGGUGAAUAUGUCCCUGCUCCUU